RNAcentral lists this microRNA precursor (61 nucleotides) under Xenoturbella bocki. Its description in RNAcentral is "Xbo-Mir-252-P1j_pre stem-loop". Lineage: Eukaryota; Metazoa; Xenacoelomorpha; Xenoturbellidae. The record is from RNAcentral.
UUAAGUAGUAAUGCUGCAGGUAGUUGAUAUUUAAUAUAUACCUACACACUGCUGCUUAGGA